CAUUUAGGAUUGGAAAGGAACAUUUUGAGGAUUUCUUUUUUCUGUUUGUUUUUUUCAGGGUUUUUUUGAAGGAUAAGAAAAAAAUAUGUGUGGAUCCAAAGAGUAAAUGGGUAGAGAAUGCCCUAAGUAAUUUACUAAGAUUGUCAGGUGCCCCAGCAAGAAAUCCCGCUAGACUCUUGCUCAACAUGUAAGAUCGCCUGAGCUCAUCUUCCUUUGCAUUAAGAAUUCUCACUUCUUUUACUAAUUUUUUUUAAAAUUCCAAUGAAAGGCUCUUUCUAGUCACUUUUUCCUAGAAACAAAUUGCCAAAAUGACCUUUCUGAAGCAAUUCAGCAACACAUUGGCUUCUCUCUAGGAAGCAACCUACUGCUUGAUAUACAUAUACUUAGUCAACAUUAGUAAAUAAGUUUGCUAAAAAUAUUUAAAGGUUCUUUCAUAUCAAUCUUAACCAGUAGGAGAAGUAAGGCUGACCAUGCAAGAACCCUAGUUCUCACACAAAGACUUUCCUCUAAAUGGAAGCAUAGCUUAGAUAUCAAAUUGGAGCAACUGGCAUGAGUUAGGAAGGGAAGCAAGGAAUCUUUUCUUCACCUGUGGGUUUCUGAAAUUACAAAGCUGCCCAGGAAAUUCACAUAAUCUUAAUUGGAUUGUCCAGACAAAGUCAUGAGCAAUUGAACCUCUUGAGCACAUACAAGGUUAAAAAGAUUGGGACUUGUCAACCCUAAAAAUUCCCUCCACCUUAGUAAACUGUAACAAAGGAAAGCCAAAUGAUGGUGUGUGUCAUGCUGUUGACAUUGAUAUUAUGCCAAAGGAUGUGUGGGUAAAACACAGUGACUCUGCAGACAGUAGAUUUGCAAUGAAAUGAUGGUUACCCUCUGUGUAACCCUAAAUAAGUCACUGAGCCUUUGUGGCAUUAAAUCCCUCAUCUCUAAAAUGCAAGGAAUUGGAUGAAAUAGCCCCCAAAGUCUUUUCCAAGCCUCCACCUAGCAUCCUUCAAAGAAACACCCCAGAAUUAAACCCAGAGCCAUCAGAAUUAUUUAUAGCUAAGCUUGUCUUAGAGAUCUCUUGCCUUCUAUGAUGUGCUACAUACCAAGGAGUAGACAAUUCAGAACAUAAAUGUAUGUUUUCUAAAGUGUACCACUCAUGUACUGUUCUUCAAUAAACACAAACAGAU
Molecule: long non-coding RNA, 1169 nt
Filed under: Vombatus ursinus (common wombat)
Lineage: Eukaryota; Metazoa; Chordata; Mammalia; Diprotodontia; Vombatidae
Description: lncRNA (ENSVURG00010010732.1)
Source: RNAcentral